UACAGAGGGUGCAAGCGUUAAUCGGAAUUACUGGGCGUAAAGCGCGCGUAGGCGGCUGUCUAAGUCGGAUGUGAAAUCCCCCGGGCUUAACCUGGGAACUGCAUUCGAUACUGGGCGGCUAGAGUAUGAGAGAGGGAGGUAGAAUUCCACGUGUAGCGGUGAAAUGCGUAGAUAUGUGGAGGAAUACCGGUGGCGAAGGCGGCCUCCUGGCUUAAUACUGACGCUGAGGUGCGAAAGCGUGGGGGAGCAAACAGG
Molecule: ribosomal RNA, 255 nt
Filed under: uncultured bacterium
Lineage: Bacteria
Description: partial 16S ribosomal RNA
Rfam family: Bacterial small subunit ribosomal RNA
Source: RNAcentral